Molecule: ribosomal RNA, 228 nt
Filed under: uncultured prokaryote
Description: partial 16S ribosomal RNA
Rfam family: Bacterial small subunit ribosomal RNA
Source: RNAcentral
UACGAAGGGGGCUAGCGUUGUUCGGAAUUACUGGGCGUAAAGCGCGCGUAGGCGGAUUUGUAAGUCAGGGGUGAAAUCCUGGAGCUCAACUCCAGAACUGCCUUUGAUACUGGAGAGCUUGAGUCCGGAAGAGGUGAGUGGAACUCCGAGUGUAGAGGUGAAAUUCGUAGAUAUUCGGAAGAACACCAGUGGCGAAGGCGGCUCACUGGUCCGGUACUGACGCUGAGG